Cynoglossus semilaevis (tongue sole) is the source of this 3492-nucleotide long non-coding RNA. RefSeq lists it as uncharacterized. The record is from RefSeq and is a predicted model, not a curated record. Lineage: Eukaryota; Metazoa; Chordata; Actinopteri; Pleuronectiformes; Cynoglossidae. The transcript has 4 exons.
GCUGUCAGCACAGAUUGGUGAAAUUACACUUACGUACAGUAUGUGCAGGUCACAUGCCCAGUGUACAGUGAAUAUGAGGGUCAGGGGAGGGGCAGAUAGUGAGAUGACAGAUGCAGAAAUUGUACAUGUGCUGCAUGUACCUUUACUGUAGAUCAAAGCUGCCCAAAGUGGGGCCCAUUGGCCAACAGUGGUCUAGAAUAAUGCAAAAGUGGGCCCACUGGGAAAAAACAAACAAACGAACACCUUGUAAAUAUAUCAAUUAUAAUGCAUAUGAAUCCAUCUAUCCAUUUUAAAUCCGUUCCGCAGAAUUUUCGCUAUAUCGCGGUAUUUUACGGUAUUUUUUUCUUCUCUCUCCUAGGAGAAGCUUAAUUACUCCAAUUGCGCUCACCUACGUCCGGAGCUGCACCUGCGUAACUACUCCCGUGCUCUCUCUCCUUCAGCUCAAACCGCGUCUUUUUAAUUUACGUAAUAUGUAUGUCUUAUAUUUCCAUCAUACAACUCUACUCUGCAUACAAUUGGUUGGAAAAGGGUAAUACAGUCUAGGGAGGGUUGAUAACACUGUGGGGGAGAUUUGUAAAGGGUAAAUAUAUACGUAAAUAAUACAAAAACGAUGGAACGCAACUACCGCGAUAGGAGAGGGAUCACUGUAAUCAGCAUUGAAAGGAACAGUCAGAGUGUUCAUGUUUAUGUGUGUAUUUGAGUGUGUGUGAUGUACAGUAUGAAGAGCAGGAUGGUUGAGUCACUGACUGAUCCGGAGAGCGCCCUCCAGACAAAGAAUACUAUUCUCGACAUUCUGCACUGGGGUAGCGCCGAUAUCACGUUCAGCUCUUCUCUUCCAAAAUGGCAUCUCGUGCAGUUUUAUCUACAUCGUCCGAUGACCAGUGAGUCCGCUGGUGCCAAGGGCUGAGGACAGGGAAGGAAGGCAGGAGGAGGAAGAAGAGAGUGUUUGGAAAAACACACUUAUCACUUUGACUAUCAUUCAUCUUCUGACUGAGGAGCAAACGUUAUAUGAAGCCUCCCUCUCAAAACCCACAAGAGGAGCCAUAAUGUAUUACAUUCAGAGUAGCAGUAUGACCAAACGUGGUGCUGUAAUGUACUGCCUGUACUGUAUGUUUUAUUGAUACUGGAAGAGGAAUAGUUUUUGCGCUGCCUUGAGGAACCUUCACAAAGCAGAUUAUCUUCUCCUUGGCAUGACUGACUUGGUGUUGCUUUCCAGGAGUGUGUGAUUGUAUAUUUGUGCUUUUUCUUAUUGUAUUAUGUUUCACUAGGUGUCAUGCUAAUCUUUCACUCAUCAUGGAGCUUUGCGGGGCAUGCUGGCAGCUUUGUUCGGAAGAUAAACAAGUAGAGGAGAAAAGAUAUACCAACACCGGCAAAUCCUUACUGCAGGCUCAUUCUUCUGUGGAUACUGUACGAGGAGCAUUUCACACGCUCCUGAGAUGGAUGGGACAGCCGAGACUGUCAGGUAACUUUAGGUGGCUCUGCAGCGGCUUGAUUGAAAGAUGAAGAGCAAUUAUUAAAGUGAGAUAAAGAGAAAGCGAAAUGGAGAUCGAUCUAACGAAAAAAGGGAGAGUUGGUGAGGGUGAGAGUGGGUUCAGAUGAGGCGAGAGAGAUGAUGAAAAGAGUAGCCACUCGGUCCUCUGAGAUUCCUUUUCUUCCCCUGCUGCCAAAUUAGCCCAAUUAGUCAGAGUGGCCUCUGUUCAGACUGCUGUCAAACCCUGACACUGUAUAGCAGCGCCAGCGGUCAUUCUCCCUCAUUUAAGUCAGGCUUUUGACUCUCUCCUCUGCCUUCUCUCCUGAGCCACCUGCACAUGUCUCCGCUGAAUAAUUACUGUACUAUGCAUGUGUGAAGUCGAAGCCUCAGUGUGUGUGCGCGUGCGCGCGUGUGUUUGCAAGCUUGAAAGGGAAGACAUUCCUUUAAAAUCAAUGCACCACUUCACCAGCGUGGUGCCCUGUCCUUACAGCUACAGCUUCCAAAACUAGGAGUGUGAGAUAUCUUUUCAUUCCUCAGGUAAAACCCACCAAGAAUCUUUGGGAGCUUAUGGUCGUUGCAACACUUUUAUCUUCAAGCAUCUGAAGAAAGUUUAUACACAGCAAAGGAAGAGAGAGUAGUUAAAAAAAGACUCAGGGGACGGCAUGUGUUUGUGCUGAUUGAGCAGAAAAACUUCACCCGUCCAAAAAUACAAAAUUAUUUUAUAUUAAGAAAAUAAUUUGGAGAAAUCUGGUCUGUUUCACCUUAUGCCUUAGGUCUCCAAAAGGAGGUCUGUGACCCGAGGAGGUCCCUGGAGUUACUGCAGGGAGGCCAUGAAAGUUUUGGUUGAUUUGAGAAUUUUGAAUAUGAGAACGUUUCUGUAUUACACAGAUGUAAAAUAUAAAUAUGAAACCAGGCCAGGUUUGAUAAAAAAUAUAUAUAAACAAUUGAUUAAAAUAUAAAUAAAAAAGGGGUAUUUCUUCCAUUUGAAAUCUGUCAGUGCUAACAAAAAUAAAAAGUUACCUACAAAACCAAUCAUAAAUUGUCAUUAAGACAAAGCGAUGUCAUUUCUAAUCUCUCAAAAAGAAGACAUAAAGAGUGAUAAUCUGCUGUACAAAAGACGAGGUGUGAGACCGAGCUCAUUAACGUUGUUGCUUGAACAAACACACCUUGAGCUACGUGAAUUGUGGAAAGUGAGAGCCGGAGUGCUUGCCUUCUUCUCUUCCAUUUACACCGACUCUGUUGUAUUUCACCGUGGGCCACGUCGUAGUGAAUCCAACAGCAGCUCUGAAUGACUUCCAAGAUAAAAGGAGGACGUCUGUUUGUUUCUGUGAGUGUUUAACGCAGGAUGGUGUCAAGGUUCAGGGUCUUUUUAAUGAAGGACUCUGGACCUUGGCACUUUAACAUUGAAACAACUGGAGGCAUAACACACUUAGGUGCUGCUGUACUGUACACUAAAUCAAUUGAAAUGGAGUAAUUUGUAUCCAUGAAAAUGCUGACACUUGUCUCAUAGCACAAACAAAUAAAUAUGAAAAUUGCCUGUGUUACUAACUUCAAUGAAAAGAGGUUUGAGAGGUUUGUUUGUUGUAGAAAAGGACUCAGAAUUUUUUGUUUUCAGAAGUUGGCUUCAAGUUAGUGAUUUUUUAAAAAAAAACAAUACAAUAAUAACAUACAUAUCAUACAGGAUGGAGGAGUUAUGAAUGUCAAUUCACCAAGUUGAAUCUCCCAGAGCUGCUCGUAGAUAUAGAAAUAAUAAAAACAGUUGAUUCAUUUAACAAUAUUAUGUCUUAAAAGGUGGAUGUUUUUGUGGCCAGUUUUUGGAAAUCGUAGUUACUAAAAUACAGUACCAAGCUAAAUAAGACACUUUUCACUCUUGUUGUCAAACAGAGAUGAAUUCUUCCCAAAUCAAUCUGCUCUGUUCCCAUUUUACUUUGCCAGAAGGGAGCGGGUGAGCCACCUCCAAGGCCCUUCUGGCCACCUCUUAACCCCAGCUCUAGUUUGUGUCAGGCUGCUGCAGGAGCUGC